Molecule: ribosomal RNA, 119 nt
Filed under: Pteropus alecto (black flying fox)
Lineage: Eukaryota; Metazoa; Chordata; Mammalia; Chiroptera; Pteropodidae
Source: RNAcentral
GUCUACGGCUAUGCCACCCUCAACAAGCCCGAUCCCGUCUGAUCUCGGAAGCUAAGCAGGGUCAGGCCUGGUUAGUACUUGGAUGGGAGACCACCUAGGAAGACCAGGUGCUGUAGGCG